CCUCUUGGCUGGGGGUUCGCUCUGGGCGCUGCUGAGCUGCUCCUCUUCCUUCCUCUCCUCCUUCUCCUCUUCCUCCUCCUCCUCGUCUUUGCCCCCUGCCCGCAGGUAGGCGUGGAACCGCUCCUUGGAGGUGCCACAAUGAGGUCACCCCAGAGCUUCUCCAGGCUGAGCAAUCCCAGCUCUCCCAGCCUUUCCUUGUGGCAGAGGUGCUCCAUCCCUCUAAUCCUCUUCUGGACUUGCUCCAACAGGUCAGGAACAUUUCUUUCCCAGGUGUUGCUCGAGCAUGUUGUGUCCCGGGGUCUGAGCAAGCCCGUCUGUAAAUGAUCCCAGCUAUUCUCUUGUACUUUGCUGCGACAUCAAAAGCCCACAUUUCUCCUGCUGGGUGAUCUCCAGGUCAUCAAGGCAAAUCUGUGCACAGAAAACUCAGGGAAAUUGUUUGAUUUCAGCUUGAACUCGGACUGGGAAUGGAGAGACCUGGAGUUUUUUCUGGUUUAUGUCUUUUCUGUGUUGAUUUCUUCCAUGAUUUUGCAGCCCAUGUGCAAAAUAAAAUGACUAAAAUAA
This is a long non-coding RNA of Prinia subflava (tawny-flanked prinia), 561 nucleotides long. RefSeq lists it as uncharacterized. The transcript has 3 exons. The record is from RefSeq and is a predicted model, not a curated record. NCBI's taxonomy places the organism in Eukaryota, Metazoa, Chordata, Aves, Passeriformes, Cisticolidae.